This 547-nucleotide non-coding RNA is filed under the name Pan troglodytes (chimpanzee). The record is from RNAcentral. Lineage: Eukaryota; Metazoa; Chordata; Mammalia; Primates; Hominidae.
GAACACAAAAUGGCGACACGUGGUUAGCAUUCGUCGCCAACGAGAAAUUGGGGUCGGCCCGAAAGCUCUAGAAUGCACCCCCCUUCUUCCCCGGGGCCUUCCACCUCCGCGAGUUUUAUGACUUAAAAAACCCCACAGGCUGGUCUGAAGAGGAAGACAAACAUAAAGAUGAAGUGCUUAAUUCAAGGUCACACAAUGUCGGGGAUGGACCUCCAGAUUUCCUUACUGGUGAGACGUGGUCUUGUAACACAGUGGUUAAGAAUGUGACUUUGGAGCCAGCCUGCUAGGGGCUGAAUUCUGACUCAGCCAUUUACUAACUGUGUGACCUUAGGUCACAGAAUUUUCCACACUCCUUGACGGAGGUGCUUAACCCUUAUCCAUCAGCAUUCUCAGACAGCACCUCCGGUUAGGGACAGUAUCUGACCGUCCGACAUCCCUGCAGCCCCCAUGUGUCACACAGACUCAGCCUCAGGUAGAUGGUUUCCGUAGAUGGUGGCUUUCUUUGGACCCUUGACAUCAACCAGUUACUAUUUGGGGACCAGAUGUG